Molecule: ribosomal RNA, 468 nt
Filed under: uncultured bacterium
Lineage: Bacteria
Description: partial 16S ribosomal RNA
Rfam family: Bacterial small subunit ribosomal RNA
Source: RNAcentral
GACGAACGCUGGCGGCGUGCUUAACACAUGCAAGUCGAACGGAAAGGCCCUGCUUUUGUGGGGUGCUCGAGUGGCGAACGGGUGAGUAACACGUGAGUAACCUGCCCCUGACUUUGGGAUAACUUAAGGAAACUUGAGGUCAUACCGGAUAGGAGCUCCUGCUGCAUGGUGGGGGUUGGAAAGUUUCGGCGGUUGGGGAUGGACUCGCGGCUUAUCAGCUUGUUGGUGGGGUAGUGGCUUACCAAGGCUUUGAAGGGUAGCCGGCCUGAGAGGGUGACCGGCCACAUUGGGACUGAGAUACGGCCCAGACUCCUACGGGAGGCAGCAGUGGGGAAUAUUGCACAAUGGGCGGAAGCCUGAUGCAGCAACGCCGCGUGCGGGAUGACGGCCUUCGGGUUGUAAACCGCUUUCGCCUGUGACGAAGCGUGAGUGACGGUAAUGGGUAAAGAAGCACCGGCUAACUACGUG